GCUGCGGACCGGGCCCCUCUGGCGCGCUUGCCUUGGCUUUGGCGCGUGAUGUCGGACCGCAUCG
Molecule: non-coding RNA, 64 nt
Organism: Sphingobium sp. MI1205
Lineage: Bacteria; Pseudomonadati; Pseudomonadota; Alphaproteobacteria; Sphingomonadales; Sphingobiaceae
Source: Rfam